GCCCUCGUAGUUCAACGGAUAGAAUAGGAGUUUCCUAAACUCUAGAUGCAAGUUUUUUGUCCGCCGAAGCUUUAGUGUAGGUGGAGAUUCUUGCCGAGGGUA
Molecule: transfer RNA, 102 nt
Filed under: Flavobacteriales bacterium
Lineage: Bacteria; Pseudomonadati; Bacteroidota; Flavobacteriia; Flavobacteriales
Description: tRNA-Arg
Rfam family: tRNA
About the family: Transfer RNA (tRNA) molecules are approximately 80 nucleotides in length. Their secondary structure includes four short double-helical elements and three loops (D, anti-codon, and T loops).
Source: RNAcentral